Molecule: ribosomal RNA, 327 nt
Filed under: uncultured soil bacterium
Lineage: Bacteria
Description: bacterial SSU rRNA
Rfam family: Bacterial small subunit ribosomal RNA
Source: RNAcentral
GGAUUGAACGCUGGCGGCAGGCCUAACACAUGCAAGUCGAGCGGCAGCACGGGUACUUGUACCUGGUGGCGAGCGGCGGACGGGUGAGUAAUGCCUAGGAAUCUGCCUGAUAGUGGGGGAUAACGCUCGGAAACGGACGCUAAUACCGCAUACGUCCUACGGGAGAAAGCAGGGGACCUUCGGGCCUUGCGCUAUCAGAUGAGCCUAGGUCGGAUUAGCUAGUUGGUGGGGUAAUGGCUCACCAAGGCGACGAUCCGUAACUGGUCUGAGAGGAUGAUCAGUCACACUGGAACUGAGACACGGUCCAGACUCCGUACGGGAGCGAGC